This 65-nucleotide transfer RNA is filed under the name Franklinothrips vespiformis. RNAcentral describes it as "tRNA-Leu". The record is from RNAcentral. Lineage: Eukaryota; Metazoa; Arthropoda; Insecta; Thysanoptera; Aeolothripidae.
UUCAAUAUGGCAGAGAAAUGCAAUGAAUUUAAGCUUCAUAAAUGAAGAGAAUUCUUCUAUUGAAA